Molecule: signal recognition particle RNA, 293 nt
Filed under: Vombatus ursinus (common wombat)
Lineage: Eukaryota; Metazoa; Chordata; Mammalia; Diprotodontia; Vombatidae
Description: Metazoan signal recognition particle RNA (ENSVURG00010021034.1)
Rfam family: Metazoan signal recognition particle RNA
About the family: The signal recognition particle (SRP) is a universally conserved ribonucleoprotein. It is involved in the co-translational targeting of proteins to membranes.
Source: Rfam by way of RNAcentral
GUCAGGCCUGGUGCUGCUUGUUUGUAAUCCCUGCUAAUAGGGAGGCUGAGGCUGGUGGAUCACUUGAGCUCAGGUGUACUGGGUUUCAGUGGGUUAAGUUGAUUGGUGUCCAUAUGAAGUCAAACAAUAUAUGGUGAUUUCCGAAGAGCAGGGGCCUACCAGGCUGCCUAAGGAGGGUUGAAUCAACUCAGGUUGGAAAAACAGAGCAGUUCAAUACUUCUGUGCUCGUCAGUAAUGAGACUAAGCCCGUGAGUGGCCACUGUACUUCUAGCCUGGAUAAAAUAGAGAAAGAA